AAUUUUCCAAUGAGUACUGGUAAAAAAAUACUUGUUAAUACUUGUCAUACUUAUUACCAUUUUUGUAUUAAAGGUAACUUAUGCCCAGUUUUGCUCUAACUGUUCCGAGAAUUGGUAGCGAGGAAUGUUGAUAAGGCUACCGGAACUUAAGUCCAGUCUACGACGGCCGGCGUGGUACGGCUAUCGGUUACCCCUCCCAGCCGACAAAGGAUGUUUCCAGAACGUUCUCAAUGUGUAGGAGUAGAGGAGUUCAGUUCGCAGACAGUCUGUACAUAAGUGUACGAGGAGCAGUCUGUGUAGUGUAGUUGAUGUGUGCAAUAAAGUAAAUGAUCAUUAAAAGUCAGUGGUUACAGUUACAUAAUAUUCAAUUUGUAAUUGAAUAAAUUUAUUCAUAUAUUUGCUUGUACAGAGAUGUCGUAAUUAUAAUAAUACAGUAAUUAUAUAUAAAUUUAUUUAUCUAAACAUUUUAAAUUAACAAGAGUGUACAUAGUAAAAUUACUAGAAUAUUUGUUACUUCUAUUUAGUAUUCGUUUUAUUGUUAAUUUUUGUAUUAUUAUUCUCUUUUCAAGUUUUAACAUGGAUGGAAAAAAGAAAAGAAAAAAUUGCCAAUGAAUGCCGUGCAUUUAAUGAAGAAUGGGGUGUAAAAUAUUUUUUCAUACAAUCGAAUUCAAAGGAUAAAGCUGUAUGUCUGAUAUGUAAAGAUACUGUUGCUGUGUUGAAAGAAUACAAUAUACGUCAUCACUAUGACAUGAAGCAUGCUUCAACGUUUUCACAAUUUAAAGAAAAGCAGCAUUCAGAUAAAUUUGAAUCAUUACGUCAUUGUCUGCGUUCUCAGCAAGACUUACUUACGAAAGCAACAUCAGAAAAUGAAGCCUUAACCUUGAACCGUGAUAUUCAUCAGACCUCUUCCUUUUAUCUCCAGGACUUCCUCUGUUAUUACUAUCUUCUCAUCAGAUGCCAUGGACUAACUUCCAAGAAGCUAUCUAUCUGAUCAAUCAGACUUAAUGUGAAUAUUCUCAGGCACUCCUGAUUUCCAGCUGUAUUGAUCCAUGAGAGAGCCUCCAUUCUGUAAGAUAAGUGAACUUCUUAAUGUAUUUCAUGAACUGUUAAUAAAAUUGUGAAAUGUGAUAUAAAAGGUGGGUGGAUAAUGUUAGCAGGCAUUUUUUUAGCUAUACUGGCCAAAUACAGAGCCUACUUUAUGUAAGGCCAUAAACGGACUUUUUAUGUACAUCAUCAGAUUAUUGUUAUAUUCAGCAUGAGUCAUGUUUGCAUAAUGUUUAUAGGCAAUUGUGACAUUUGGCUCUGUUGACCAGUUACAGAGCCUAGUUUACACAUGAAUAUAAAUGGACUUUCCCAUAAAGGUAAAGGUAAAGGUAAAGUUGUUCUUAUUCUUAAUUAAUUAAUUAAUUCCCACACCAUGAAGUUGUAUGGGACAGUGGAGGUAUAGCUCCAUUCUUGACCUCAGUACUUGAUAGAGGCGAGUGGAUAGAGCUCCCUGUACCCAAUGGAUAGGUGGGUGGGUGGGCCCCAGAGCUGGUCUGGAUGCUGUGAAGAAGAGAAAAUUGUUUCCCUGCCUGAAAUCAAUCCCCGGCUAUCCAGCCAAUAGUUCAUCACUGUACUUUCCCAUAUAGGCUGUACCAUAAAACAUUUAACAUAUUUUGAUGCAAUUUGAUAUUCUACAUUACCAUGCUGUUGAAAUAAACAGAUUUUUCAUGUUAUCUGUAACAUUUUUGUGUUUCAUUGAAGUGUCAUGUAUAAAACUGCUGUCAGUCAGCUUAAAAAGUGUAAAGGACACUGUUGAGAAACUAAUAGAAAGUUGAUUAUUCUUAGUCAUAACAGUUCAGCUGAAUGUGAUGUACCAGUAAACAUAAUUAAACAAGAGUAAAAAAAAUAUGCUCUAUUCUUUGCAGUUAAGUCUGCUUGUGCCUAGUUUAUAAAUGACAUUUGGAUGAAAAGAAAUACAGAGAGGCCAAGAAAGAGGUGUACACACCUCAAUGUACACAUUUUAGAAUGUGUUGUACAUUUGAUCUGUUAAUUCCUGUCUCAUGUGCACAUUGUUUUACAUACUUCUGAGGUGAUAAUGUAAAGUGUUCCACCACUAUAGCAGAAGAGGUAGGACUCAUUGCUGUGGGAGUCCUACCAUAUCUUUGCUCAUGCACAUCAUGUGCUGUACCAUUGGUCUUAAAUUUGUCACAGAUGCAUACAAAUGUUAAUCAUGUUGGUGGUUCCAUUGCAAAUUCAUGCUGUCGCUGUCAUCAUACUAUGCACACACAUUUUCAAAUUUCCAGGCCCACUCCAAAAUUAUCUCACAUUUUUCAAAUGACAACCUUUCGGCCACUAUUUUCUUUGACUGUCCUGCCAUAUGAUAAGGUGGCUCUUGUCAUUUAUGUGACUAGGGCCAUCUUUUGAGAGAAUAUCACACCACACAUCGUGCAUUACAUUUUAGUUAAACUUUAAAAAGGUCCAUAGAUAACCCCUAUUAAAGUGUGUAUACAUUUUUUUGAGAUGAAAUUAACGCAAUAAUAUCUAAACAGCAUAUUAAUGCACAACAUAGAACUGCAACAGAAUUUUUGAUCGGAGUUUUUACCAAGCAGCUUCUGUUUCUUACUAGUAAUAACUGACAGUAACAGAUUUUGAAUUUUGCUGUAAUAUAUAUACAGAAUAGUUACCAGAAAAAAUAUUUUGGCAUGAAGAUUUGGAGCAGUUAUGAUGGCUUGAAAUGCUACCAGACUUAAAAAGACUCAAAAAGAGUGAAUUAAAAGGAGCAAUUUUGACACUUUAUGAACGUUGUAAAUAUGAAACAUGUGCAGACGUACUGCUUCAUCUGUGAUCUGUUGCUUAUCAGUAUCAGAAUAUGUAGCAGGUAAAACUGUGCAGAAGGUGUGGCACUCAAAUUAAGAGCUUAACAUGUAUAUUCAUAGAGCAUACUGAAAUGUACUCAUGUAAUUGAAAAACAGACUUGAAUUGCAUGAAAACACUCAUCCUCAGUGUUUGUUCAUCACUUGAAGUAUGCUGCAUCUGGUAUCCCCAUUUUCUUAAUUUUCUGGGAGCUUUGUGAACUCUGUGCAUAUAAUAACACAGCUGUUCAUCAGUACUUGUCAAUAUCGCAAUUUAAUGUGUAGUACAUUAGUCACAAAGUACUGCUUUUAAUGUUUAGAAUCUCGGAUAAGUAAGAGCACUAAAUUUUCAAGAUUUUAUAUCUGUCUGUUAAGCAUAAAC
Molecule: long non-coding RNA, 3219 nt
Organism: Cryptotermes secundus
Lineage: Eukaryota; Metazoa; Arthropoda; Insecta; Blattodea; Kalotermitidae
Exons: 3
Source: RefSeq, a predicted model, not a curated record